RNAcentral lists this long non-coding RNA (603 nucleotides) under Salmo salar (Atlantic salmon). Its description in RNAcentral is "lncRNA (ENSSSAG00000118464.1)". The record is from RNAcentral. Lineage: Eukaryota; Metazoa; Chordata; Actinopteri; Salmoniformes; Salmonidae.
AGGCAGUAGAGUAUGAUGAAGUAGAGUAUGAGAGAGUAGAGUAUGAAGUAGUAGAGUAUGAGAGAGUAGAGUAUGAAAGUAGAAUAUGAGGUAGUAGAGCAUGAGGCAUUAAAGUAUAAGUCAGUAGAGUAUGAUGUAGUAGAAGUUGAGGCAGUAGAGUAGAGUAUGAGAUAGUAGAGUAUGAGAGUAGAGUAUGAGAGUAGAGUAUGAGGUAUUAGAAGUUGAGCCAGUAGAGUAGAGUAUGAGAUAGUAGAGUAUGAGAGUAGAGUAUGAGAUAGUAGAGUAUGACGUAGUAGAGUAUGAGGAAGUAAAGUAAGAAAGCAGAAUAUGAGGUAGUAGAGUACGAGGCAGUAGAGUAUGAGGUAGUAGAGUAUGAGGCAGUAGAGUAUGAAAUAGUAGAGUAUGAGACAGUAGAGUAUGAGAUAGUAGAGUAUGACGUAGUAGAGUAUGAGGAAGUAAAGUAAGAAAGUAGAAUAUGAGGUAGUAGAGUAUGAGGCAGUAGAGUAUGAGCGGGUAGAGUGUGAGAGUAAAAUAUGAGGCAGUAUAGUAUGUGGAAGUAGAGCAUGAAAGUAGAGUAUGAGGCAGUAGAGUAUGAGAUAGUAG